CCUGUUUUCACUUGCGUCUCUCCGCCAAUGCCAAUAAUAGAUCCCCCCAGGAAGAACAGCCUCCAGCGACCUGAAACUACAUUUCCCAUGAGGACAAGGGAUUGGGCCUUCUGCUUUCCCGGUGACCUGUAACCAAUAGGAGAUGUUGUAGCUGCCGCGUUGUGGGCGAGAGUACAGCCCUGGGCCGGAGUCCCGGGCCUAAGGCGGCUGGCGAGAGGCGGGGAGUUCAGAAGACAGUUGCGUGGCGUGGGGCGCCGCGAGGGCACUACGCUCUCAGAAGCUGUCACGCCGGCCCGAUUUUCCGCGGCACUAUAAGGAGUAGCCGUUCGGUAGCCGGGGAGCUGGAGGGGAACCUGAUUUGAGAUCAUUUCUUGGAGAACACAGAGAAGUGUGGUGGUAUGUUCCAGGUGUGAGUUUAAUUUAAACCCAAGAACUUUGUUUUAUAGACUGUCCUGUUUGUGGCUGUUCUUAGCUCCAUAGAGUGGAGUUGUCAUUUUAAGGCCUGGUGACAAAUUUUUAAAAAAUAUAUUUGCUGUCCUUAUGCAUCAUAUUAUCUGAAUUGUAGUCAUUUCAUUGGGUGACAAUAAUGACUCCUAUUAAUUGAGCAGAUAUAAUGUUCCAGGCACUAUCAUAAGCACUUUGUAGCAUUA
RNAcentral lists this long non-coding RNA (650 nucleotides) under Suricata suricatta (meerkat). Its description in RNAcentral is "lncRNA (ENSSSUG00005016419.1)". The record is from RNAcentral. Lineage: Eukaryota; Metazoa; Chordata; Mammalia; Carnivora; Herpestidae.